UAUGUCUCAAGGGCCUAUCUCUAUAUCAUCAUGUCUAAAACAUGGAAUAUAAUCAUGUCACAAUGGCCAAACUCAAUGUCUCUAUGUCGCAAUUUCAUAGUUUACUAGUUCAGGUGCCCCUUUAUGGCAUUUUGUUCACUAAGUCCAAGCAUGAUGAUUAUGUUCACGAGUACGUAAUUCUAGUCCUUUUCUUCAUAAGAGACAUGUUCCCAACUCGUAUAGGGAACCACUUUCCACAUGCAUGCUGUCACGCCCCGAAACCGCUACCAAUUCGGUCCAGUUCGGGCGCGUCGAACAGACGCCGAACGGACAGCACCUCUCCUGUCCGCCCAAGGCUAAGCAACCAGAUCAUGUACAAUUAAGCACCCAGGAAUUUGCUUAAAUAACAUACAUGAUCAAACAC
RNAcentral lists this long non-coding RNA (403 nucleotides) under Ananas comosus (pineapple). RNAcentral describes it as "long non-coding RNA (ACOM_LNC036695)". The record is from RNAcentral. Lineage: Eukaryota; Viridiplantae; Streptophyta; Magnoliopsida; Poales; Bromeliaceae.